AUACAUUUCUCAGCCUUUUGGGUAAGAUAAAAUGUAAUAUUUGUUCUUAUCAAUUUAAUAUAUGGUCUAUGAAGCAUAUGUUCACUUUGAUAUUAAAUUUGUUUUUAUCAAUAUCAAAUAUGAUUGCGUGUCGUUGUAGUGUACGCAGUGCUGGCCCUGGAGGGCUCAAACAAUGCCCUUGAUCUGGGCCUUCACAUU
Molecule: non-coding RNA, 198 nt
Organism: Zea mays
Lineage: Eukaryota; Viridiplantae; Streptophyta; Magnoliopsida; Poales; Poaceae
Source: Rfam